GCGAACGCUGGCGGCAGGCCUAACACAUGCAAGUCGAGCGCCCGUAGCAAUACGGGAGCGGCAGACGGGAUAGUAACACGUGGGAACGUACCCUUCAGUUCGGAACAACCCAGGGAAACUUGGGCUAAUACCGAAUACGUCCGUAAGGAGAAAGAUUUAUCGCUGAAGGAUCGGCCCGCGUCUGAUUAGCUAGUUGGUGAGGUAACGGCUCACCAAGGCGACGAUCAGUAGCUGGUCUGAGAGGAUGAUCAGCAUCACUGGGACUGAGACACGGCCCAGACUCCUACGGGAGGCAGCAGUGGGGAAUAUUGGACAAUGGGCGCAAGCCUGAUCCAGCCAUGCCGCGUGGAUGAUGAAGGCCCUAGGGUUGUAAAGUCCUUUCGACGGGGAAGAUAAUGACGGUACCCGUAGAAGAAGCCCCGGCUAACUUCGU
This 433-nucleotide ribosomal RNA is filed under the name uncultured bacterium. RNAcentral describes it as "bacterial SSU rRNA". It matches the Rfam family "Bacterial small subunit ribosomal RNA", at positions 29 to 506 of the family's 1533-position model. The record is from RNAcentral.